RNAcentral lists this ribosomal RNA (253 nucleotides) under uncultured bacterium. Its description in RNAcentral is "partial 16S ribosomal RNA". It matches the Rfam family "Bacterial small subunit ribosomal RNA", at positions 524 to 776 of the family's 1533-position model. The record is from RNAcentral.
UACGAAGGGGGCUAGCGUUGCUCGGAAUCACUGGGCGUAAAGCGCACGUAGGCGGAUCCUUAAGUCGGGGGUGAAAUCCUGGAGCUCAACUCCAGAACUGCCUUCGAUACUGAGGAUCUCGAGUCCGGGAGAGGUGAGUGGAACUGCGAGUGUAGAGGUGAAAUUCGUAGAUAUUCGCAAGAACACCAGUGGCGAAGGCGGCUCACUGGCCCGGUACUGACGCUGAGACGCGAAAGCGUGGGGAGCAAACAGG